AUACUUACUUGGCACUGGGGAUACUUUGAUUACUUUGAUCAACGAGGAGGUUCCCCCGAGCAGAGGCCUUUCAUUGCACUUCGGAGGGUUGACGCUCGCCACAUCUGCAAAUUACGGUUGCUGGGGUGCAUAAGUUUUGGUAGCUGGGACUGCGUUCGCGUUGUCCCUU
This is a small nuclear RNA of Uloborus diversus, 169 nucleotides long. RefSeq annotates it as U1 spliceosomal RNA. The transcript has a single exon. The record is from RefSeq and is a predicted model, not a curated record. NCBI's taxonomy places the organism in Eukaryota, Metazoa, Arthropoda, Arachnida, Araneae, Uloboridae.